Theobroma cacao (cacao) is the source of this 695-nucleotide RNA transcript. RefSeq lists it as uncharacterized. The record is from RefSeq and is a predicted model, not a curated record. NCBI's taxonomy places the organism in Eukaryota, Viridiplantae, Streptophyta, Magnoliopsida, Malvales, Malvaceae.
GUGUAGAUCUGAAGAAAAACCCUCAGUGCGCUCUGCCUCUCUCACAAUCUCUGUAGCCCUCUGUUAACAGAGACAUGAACAAGUGUCUUGAGACCGGCCAAUCCUCCCCAAGGAAACUUUAAGAGACGAGAGAAAAGGGGAGAAGCCCUUGGCUCCCAGGAAGGAAAGUGAACUGAGAGUUUCCAAGCACAAGAAGCAUACAUGUUCUAAAAGGAGGUUUGAGCCUGACCAAAACAAGAGACUCAUGAAGAAGCAGAAAAGUUUGGAAUCAAAGUUAGCAGAUCUUAAGAAAGAAAUGAACCACGAGGAAUUGCAGGAAUACCAAGAAAAGCUGGGACAAUUGGAACAGAACCUUGCAGAGAUUAGAAUGGAUAUUUCUCGGGCAAAAGCAAUAAAUGAUAAGAGCCAGAUUUACUUGAAUUCUAUAAUUGCUCGUUUGUUCCCUUGAACUGAAGGUGAUUUAUUGGCGAGUUUCAUUUUUCUCAGGGCAAACCAGAAAAGGAGUUAAUUGAAGAAUAAAAAACCUUGGGCUAAAAUUUAAGGCAAAGCAGCAAUUUCUUCUAUCUUUAAUUGCUCUCCGUAUAUCAAACUUUUAUAGUCCCUUCCUUGUUUCUUUUCCCUCAGGAGAUGGAGGCAAGAGCGGUGGGGAGCCAGCUCAAGGACUACCUGAAUUAGGACCUUGUUGGUGCUAGUUU